Panicum hallii is the source of this 1111-nucleotide long non-coding RNA. RefSeq lists it as uncharacterized. NCBI's taxonomy places the organism in Eukaryota, Viridiplantae, Streptophyta, Magnoliopsida, Poales, Poaceae. The record is from RefSeq and is a predicted model, not a curated record. The transcript has 8 exons.
UUAAAGUUCCAUUGAAUACUGAUAAUGUUUUUGUGCACUUGUGUUGGAACUUCUUAGGUUAAUACAGUCCCCCCUUUGCACCAUCCACUGAGCAGGGCAACCCAAAGGACAGGGAAAGGAGCAGAGAAGACUCUACAAUUGUAUUAGCUUAUGGAGCACAUAGAUUGCUGCUGUUGUGAAAGGUUCAAAAUCCACAACGUAUCAAGUACAAUGGUACAAUUUAAGGUCUCAAGUAUAUAUGGAGAACCGAGGACCUCCGUGGACUUUUCAAGGGCAAUGGUACCAAUUGUGCAAGGAUUGUUCCAAAUUCUGCUGUGAAGUUUUUUAGCUACGAGCAAGCAUCAAAACCAUCUCUCUGGUGCAUGAUCACUGUUUUGUCCUGAAAUUGGGGAAUUUUGUGGGCUUACCGUCAACAGACCGGGGAUGCUGGUGCACACAGUUGUUGAGCAUCCUAGCUCAACUUUGGGUUCUGCAAAAGUUGCAGGUAACAGAGAUUGUUCAAAGAAAGAAGAACUGGUCUCACCAACUGAUAGCAAACAUGAUUCUGCAAAGUUUUCUGAAGAUAGUUCCCAGGAAGUGAGAAAGUGCUCUGAACUGCGGGCAUCUGAUUUGGCUGCUCCAUUGAGUGAUGAACAGCUUGCAUUACUGUUGCAUCAACAAUUAAACAGCUCCCCCAGAGUACCGAGGGUGCCACGUUGCCAUCAAGCAGCUGGUACGCAGAUGCUUCAUCCAACUGGAGCUACUGUUUUUUCUAAGAGGUCCUCAGCGCACGGAGAAAGGGAUCAUGCAGCGGUAAGGUUAUUAGCACCUGGAGGACAUAAAGGUAUCUUUUUAUGUCAGUUCAUCAUUUUUUGGUUUCUAAUGUUGUGAUGCUUCCCUGGGAGUGCAGGUUUUGAAAAAGAGAAGCAGAGAGGAUUCACUAAAAGAUAGUGAGGGCACUAAGAGGAUAGAAAAAAGACAUAGAGAUGCUGGCACAGAACGUGCUUCUUCUGCGGAGGACUCAUGCAGAUCAGCUGAAAAUGUAGCAUCAGAACAGAAAUGUGUGCCAUAUUAUAUGCAGCUGUUUUUUUAGCAGGAUCCUAUUAUUUUCGUCGGCCAAGCUAGCCGACGA